This is an RNA transcript of Juglans regia (Persian walnut), 1423 nucleotides long. It is a transcript of the gene named N-alpha-acetyltransferase 40-like, with no coding region annotated. The record is from RefSeq and is a predicted model, not a curated record. The transcript has 10 exons. NCBI's taxonomy places the organism in Eukaryota, Viridiplantae, Streptophyta, Magnoliopsida, Fagales, Juglandaceae.
UUUCCUCUUCUCCCACAGAUACCUCCCACGCAACCCCCACCCAUCUCGUCUCUCUCCCUCUGUGUUACCAAUCCGAACCCCACCACCACUGUCUUUCCUGUCGUCGAUUUGCAACGCCACACCAAGCAUCCCGAACGUCAAUAGACAACGCUGCCACACCCUCGAAUUUGACUGAUCGUCACUCUGAGAUUUGAGCGUGCUCUUCAGCAGCAAUGGAGUCGAAGAGGCUUCCCAGCAAACAUUCCAACAACAACAGAGAAAAGAGAGUUAAGCGUAAAGAGAUUCUCGAGAAGAAGAAGGCAAUCGAUGAGUGUAUCAAAUCAGCCUCUGCUGAUAAAGACCCUCUUGCUUCUUUCCUGCCCUUCCGCAGCUAUGACAGAAAUGGACUAUCUGUACACUUGAAAGCGGAGUGUGGGGAUAAGCUCUCCUUUCCUAUCAAGCAGUACAUUAUGAGCCUCCUUAAGGACAAUAUGGAGGAGCCAUAUGGAUCUGAUUGGCCAACAGAAGAGAAGGUCAAGCGCAGGGAAAUGGUUGUCCCAGAAGCACGCUAUAUAUUUGUGCAUGAGACCCCAAAUGAAUGUUCCUAUAGGACAGAAAGGGAACGGACUUAUACGAAUUGCAUAGAAGAUAAGGGACACAUUGUUGGGUUUGUACACUACCGCUUUACUCUAGAGGAGGAGAUACCUGUUCUUUAUGUAUAUGAAUUACAGCUUGAGCCCCGUGUCCAAGCGAAGGGGCUGGGGAAAUUUCUAAUGCAACUAAUUGAGCUUGUUGCUCACAAGAAUCGCAUGGGUGCUGUGAUGCUAACUGUUCAAAAAGCAAACUCAUUAGCUAUGAACUUCUAUCUAAAUAAGCUGAGAAUUGGUGAGCAGAUACGUAAUAGCAGCUGUUUCACCAUCAAGAGUUGAUCCAUUGAUAGGAGUUGAGAAGAGUUAUGAAAUUCUUUGCAAAACAUUUGAUCAUGAAGCCAAAGCAAUCCUGGAGAUCGGUGACAUUGUUCAGAAGUAAAGCAUGCAACAAAUUGUGGCUAAUAAAUGAGCCAACCACAAUGUAUCAGCAGAUCAACAUUGUGAUUUUGAAACCAAGACGACGGAACGACUCAGAGAACGAUCUUGGUGGCAGCAGCUAUGGUCCACUGAUGGUGGCUUUUGCAGUUCAAUGUUGGUUUAAUCAUUCAUUUAGUCUGUUGGAUAUCAUCACUAGAGGAGGCAGUUGUCCAUUAAACCACAUUUUGCUGCCAUUAAAUAGCCUGAAUAGAUACCUCACCCAAAACCUGAGCCUGCUAUUUCAUUCCAACUUCCUCAUCUGGUGCGUCAGAGUUUAGUCAAGAAUUUUUGUAUCAUAAUAAGAAGUCAGUGAGAAUUGUGGAAUACUAGCAAUUGAGAUUUAUAUGUAAUGGCAGUGUGGCAAUCACCACAGACCA